Molecule: long non-coding RNA, 940 nt
Organism: Carassius gibelio (silver crucian carp)
Lineage: Eukaryota; Metazoa; Chordata; Actinopteri; Cypriniformes; Cyprinidae
Exons: 6
Source: RefSeq, a predicted model, not a curated record
UAAAAAGGUUAACGAUAUUUGGAAAACAUAACAUGCAGCGAGCUGUUCGGUAAAUACAAUAAUAAAAAGGUAUUGAUAUUUGGAGAACAUAACAUGCAGCGUGCUGUUCGGUAAAAACAAUAAUAAAAAGGUUAACGAUAUUUGGAGAACAUAACAUGCAGCGGGCUGUUCGCUAAAUACAAUAAUAAAAAGGUUAACGAUAUUUGGAGAACAUAACAUGCAGCGGGCUGUUCGCUAAAUACAAUAAUAAAAAGGUUAACGAUAUUUGGAGAACAUAACAUGCAGCGGGCUGUUCGCUAAAUACAAUAAUAAAAAGGUUAACGAUAUUUGGAGAACAUAACAUGCAGCGGGCUGUUCGCUAAAUACAAUAAUAAAAAGGUUAACGAUAUUUGGAGAACAUAACAUGCAGCGGGCUGUUCGCUAAAUACAAUAAUAAAAAGGUUAACGAUAUUUGGAGAACAUAACAUGCAGCGUGCUGUUCGGUAAAAACAAUAAUAAAAAGGUUAACGAUAUUUGGAGAACAUAACAUGCAGCGGGCUGUUCGCUAAAUACAAUAAUAAAAAGGUUAACGAUAUUUGGAGAACAUAACAUGCAGCGGGCUGUUCGCUAAAUACAAUAAUAAAAAGGUUAACGAUAUUUGGAGAACAUAACAUGCAGCGGGCUGUUCGCUAAAUACAAUAAUAAAAAGGUUAACGAUAUUUGGAGAACAUAACAUGCAGCGGGCUGUUCGCUAAAUACAAUAAUAAAAAGGUUAACGAUAUUUGGAGAACAUAACAUGCAGAGUGCUGUUCGGUAAAACCUCAAGGAUUCCCAAACCCCUUUGACCAGGUUUGUCCUUGAAAUCCCCCUUAGAUUUAAAGCUAAUAUUUCUUUAUCAACACAUUCGCUUUUAUUUUUAUUUCAAUUGUUUUAGUUUCAAAGUUUUUGUAUUAUUUUUAUU